CCUACGGGAGGCAGCAGUGAGGAAUAUUGGUCAAUGGGCGGAAUCCUGAACCAGCCAUGCCGCGUGCAGGACGACGGCUCUACGAGUUGUAAACUGCUUUUGUACGGGGGUAAAAUGCUCUACGAGUAGGGUUUUGAAAGUACGGUACGAAUAAGGAUCGGCUAACUCCGUGCCAGCAGCCGAGGUAAUACGGAGGAUCCGAGCGUUAUCCGGAUUUAUUGGGUUUAAAGGGUGCGUAGGUUGUUUUAUAAGUUAGCGGUGAAAUACCGAUGCUCAACAUCGGGGCUGCCGCUGAUACUGUAGGACUAGAGAUCGGAUGCAGCAGGCGGAAUGUGUAGUGUAGCGGUGAAAUGCAUAGAUAUUACACAGAACACCGAUUGCGAAGGCAGCUUGCUAGGCCGGAUCUGACACUGAUGCACGAAAGCGUGGGGAUCGAACAGGAUUAGAUACCCUUGUAGUC
RNAcentral lists this ribosomal RNA (460 nucleotides) under uncultured bacterium. RNAcentral describes it as "partial 16S ribosomal RNA". It matches the Rfam family "Bacterial small subunit ribosomal RNA", at positions 338 to 795 of the family's 1533-position model. The record is from RNAcentral.